CCAUUGUGGGAGCUACUGUUUCUUUGUAUGACAUUAAAUGUUGUAGGCUACAGUACAGUUAGACUACUUUGUUGUAGUGUUCAGAUAAUGACUAGGUAGUUGCCGAGAGAAAAUGACAUUCUCAAGGCUGCAACGGAUGCGCCCCUAGACUAGAGCAAUCAAACAUCAAAACUGAAUUAAGUUAGGACAAAUAAACGUCUCAUGUAGCCUAAUCUUACUUCAGAAAGUUCCUGGAUAACAUUUUACGUGAUCUAUAAAAGUCGAGUAAUGUCAAGAAAACGUUCAACAACACCCCCUUUCACUAAGAAUCCUGUUGUCUGCUAUCGUCUACUUUAACCUGACAGCCAUUUGGAACACAUGCACAAAGAGAGAGUAUCUCAACAGGCCUAUUUCUCCUGAGGGGGUGUCUGGGAAUGACUGGUUCCGGUUAUUCGCUGCUGCUAUAAUGGCAGCUGCUGUACACUACCAGUACAGAUAGGACAACGAGCUAUUUAUACAAGUCUUUACAACGGGUGCAUCCGUUUAUUAAUAAGUAAUUCUACGGUCAAAAAUUAACGUUUGGAGGCCACUCUAAAGAUGAACCCUCUAUCCUGACACCUCUGGAGCAGUGCUGCAGGAUUCGUCGCUCCACCCUCCUGCGUGUCUACGUCUCCUCUCCCUGCUACAGUCUCUGUGACGUCAUGAGGGACUCUCUUUUCCACGAUCCUCUAUUCUUCGUGGCCCCUCUCUGAGCUGCACCUCUCUGCCCUGGACCGUCGCCUAGCGACCGUGCUCAGAACUGUGAGCCGUUGCCAGGAAGGACAGUGUAGCCGCCAUGGAGGCGAGGAUGAUGUCACUCAUUAUAUGACCUUCGUUACACCUGUGACACAUGCAGGGUACACUCUUAGAAAAAAGGGUUCUUCGGCAGUCCCCAUAGGAGAACCCUUUUGGGUUAUACAUGGAACCCA
Long non-coding RNA from Coregonus clupeaformis (lake whitefish), 947 nucleotides. RefSeq lists it as uncharacterized. The record is from RefSeq and is a predicted model, not a curated record. Lineage: Eukaryota; Metazoa; Chordata; Actinopteri; Salmoniformes; Salmonidae. The transcript is spliced from 3 exons.